Molecule: ribosomal RNA, 466 nt
Filed under: uncultured bacterium
Lineage: Bacteria
Description: partial 16S ribosomal RNA
Rfam family: Bacterial small subunit ribosomal RNA
Source: RNAcentral
GAUGAACGCUGGCGGCGUGCUUAACACAUGCAAGUCGAACGGAAAGGCCCAAGCUUGCUUGGGUACUCGAGUGGCGAACGGGUGAGUAACACGUGGGUGAUCUGCCCUGCACUUCGGGAUGAGCCUGGGAAACUGGGUCUAAUACCGGAUAGGACCACAUUUUGGAUGGUGUGGUGGAAAGUUUUUCGGUGUGGGAUGAGCUCGCGGCCUAUCAGCUUGUUGGUGGGGUAAUGGCCUACCAAGGCGUCGACGGGUAGCCGGCCUGAGAGGGUGUACGGCCACAUUGGGACUGAGAUACGGCCCAGACUCCUACGGGAGGCAGCAGUGGGGAAUAUUGCACAAUGGGCGCAAGCCUGAUGCAGCGACGCCGCGGGGGGGAUGACGGCCUUCGGGUUGUAAACUCCUUUCGCUAGGGACGAAGCGUUAUGUGACGGUACCUGGAGAAGAAGCACCGGCUAACUACGUG